GCUGCUGUAGCUCAGUGGUAGAGCACUCCCUUGGUAAGGGAGAGGUCGAAGGUUCAAGCCCUUUCAGCAGCACCA
RNAcentral lists this transfer RNA (75 nucleotides) under Alphaproteobacteria bacterium. RNAcentral describes it as "tRNA-Thr". It matches the Rfam family "tRNA". From Rfam's summary of the family: Transfer RNA (tRNA) molecules are approximately 80 nucleotides in length. Their secondary structure includes four short double-helical elements and three loops (D, anti-codon, and T loops). The record is from RNAcentral. Lineage: Bacteria; Pseudomonadati; Pseudomonadota; Alphaproteobacteria.